Molecule: transfer RNA, 75 nt
Filed under: Acidobacteriota bacterium
Lineage: Bacteria; Pseudomonadati; Acidobacteriota
Also listed under: 1 other name
Description: Acidobacteria bacterium tRNA-Glu
Rfam family: tRNA
About the family: Transfer RNA (tRNA) molecules are approximately 80 nucleotides in length. Their secondary structure includes four short double-helical elements and three loops (D, anti-codon, and T loops).
Source: RNAcentral
GCCGGUGUCGUCUAGUGGCCAGGAUCGCUGACUUUCAAUCAGCAGACGGGAGUUCAACUCUCCUCGCCGGUACCA